UGGUGAUGUAGGAGGACAGCCAGAAGAAGUGGGAUAAGCCAAGCCCUUGGCUUAUUUUUUCCUGUUGUGUGGAGGCUAAUCUUCUCUAAGCUGCUGCCUGAAUUUCUAAACCCUGAAGGUUUUUCCUGUCGUCUGUCAACUGACCAGCCUUGGGAUACUGAGGAUAUCAGUGUUUGUGCCGAGGAAGGUGUGGCAGAGGGACUCCGGGGUGAUGGUCUUCCGGCUGGCUGCCAACACAGCAGAAAUGUGGGAGGAAAACUUGAGUGAUCAGCCAAGUCGCUGGAAGGACCAAGGAGUUCCCCAGGAUCUCCCAGGUAAAAUUGUCCUCCUGCUGUGCAUGUACUUUUAUACCACCUGACUGUUUGCCUGUGUGACCUGUUUGUGCCGAUGGGAUGUUAGCAGAGAACAUGCAGAAGGCAAGUUGAACAGUGCUUGUGCAAACGGUCCUGCUUUCUUGCACCUCUGAUGUCGCCAUGAAAAGAGGACACCUUGGUAGUCUGCUGGUUCCAGGAAGAGGACGAAGAGGAUAAGAAACACGUGGAGCAGAGCCCAACCAACCCAUGAAUCCAUGAGAGUAAAUGGGUGUUAUUUUAAGCCACUAUAUUUAAGAGUGGUUUGUUAUACUGAACUUUUGUGGUAAUAGCUAACUGAUAUAGAUACCAUGCCUAUUAGAAAAGAGGAUAAUAAGUGGCAGUUCGAUGUCAUAUUCCAAAUCAAAUCUUAUUAACAGUAUCUCUUCUGAAGAGUCAAAUGAUCCAUAAGAACUUUAAGUGUCAUCUUUUUCUCUCUUCUGUUCCUCUAAUUUUACACCAGUUCUGUGUUAGCAUGUCCCCGUGACAUGGAGACAGUGAUUGCAAAGGAGACAAAACUAUUGUGAUUUUCAAUGGAGUGACUACCUACGAAAGAAUCAGAUGUACUUUGAGAGAGUUCAGCAAGGUGGCUAAUUACGAACUAAAUAAAAUUAAUAGCUUUUAUAUAGAACUGAUAAUGCCAAUUAAAAGAUAUAAUAGGUAAAACAAUCUCAUACACAAGAGAAAACAUAAAAAUAAACUACCUAGAAAUAAAAUUAAAAUGAAAUGUGCAUAACCUACAUGAUGGAAAG
Diceros bicornis minor is the source of this 1102-nucleotide long non-coding RNA. RefSeq lists it as uncharacterized. The transcript has 4 exons. The record is from RefSeq and is a predicted model, not a curated record. NCBI's taxonomy places the organism in Eukaryota, Metazoa, Chordata, Mammalia, Perissodactyla, Rhinocerotidae.